Molecule: ribosomal RNA, 465 nt
Filed under: uncultured bacterium
Lineage: Bacteria
Description: partial 16S ribosomal RNA
Rfam family: Bacterial small subunit ribosomal RNA
Source: RNAcentral
CCUACGGGAGGCAGCAGUAGGGAAUCUUCCACAAUGGGCGCAAGCCUGAUGGAGCAACACCGCGUGAGUGAAGAAGGGUUUCGGCUCGUAAAGCUCUGUUGUUGGAGAAGACCGUGCGUGAGAGUAACUGUUCACGCAGUGACGGUAUCCAACCAGAAAGUCACGGCUAACUACGUGCCAGCAGCCGCGGUAAUACGUAGGUGGCAAGCGUUUUCCGGAUUUAUUGGGCGUAAAGCGAGCGCAGGCGGUUGCUUAGGUCUGAUGUGAAAGCCUUCGGCUUAACCGAAGAAGUGCAUCGGAAAUCGGGCAACUUGAGUGCAGAAGAGGACAGUGGAAUUCCAUGUGUAGCGGUGGAAUGCGUAGAUAGAUGGAAGAACACCAGUGGCGAAGGCGGCUGUCUGGUCUGCAACUGACGCUGAGGCUCGAAAGCAUGGGUAGCGAACAGGAUUAGAUACCCCAGUAGUC